AUGCAAGUCGAGGGGUAACAGGGAGCUUGCUUCGCUGACGACCGGCGCACGGGUGCGUAACGCGUAUAGAACCUACCUUUUACUAGGGGAAUAGCCUUUAGAAAUGAAGAUUAAUGCCCCACUAGUAUUGUAGACUGGCAUCAGUUUAUAAUUAAAGAUUUAUCGGUAAAAGAUGGCUAUGCGUCCUAUUAGUUAGUUGGUAAGGUAACGGCUUACCAAGACAUCGAUAGGUAGGGGUCCGUGAGAGGGAGAUCCCCCACCACUGGUACUGAGACACGGACCAGACUCC
This 289-nucleotide ribosomal RNA is filed under the name unidentified marine bacterioplankton. RNAcentral's name for it is "partial 16S ribosomal RNA". It matches the Rfam family "Bacterial small subunit ribosomal RNA", at positions 55 to 339 of the family's 1533-position model. The record is from RNAcentral.